AGAAGAAGACAUAGGUUGUUGAACAGCAUAUUUGACCCUGAAUCAGAGGAAGAAUCUAAAAUAGAGGAGCAACCAGUCGCCCAUAGAUUGGAAAUGACUACUUCAGAGUGGUUAUGAAAAGAAUGGCCCAGGUUCCUGAGGAGCUGACCUGAAUGACUAUAAUGGCCUCGAUCCGUUGUGCCUCUAUAUUUAUUCUCUGCAAAAUGCAAUGAAUAUUUACAGAGCUGACCAUGGCCGUUUGAGAAUCAGAGGGAUGGAAAGGCAAUGAAGUGACUUGGCCUACAGGUCUUUUGUGAGCAGGAGCUGGGGUUUCCUUAGAAGAAGCGUCCGUGUCAUGAUCCCCUCGUGUGUGGUGCUACGCAUAUGGAGGGAGCGUCCGAAUACUUCAGGGCAGUACGUUGGAUUCAGACCCCUUGUCGACUGAACCGUGACUUAUGUUCAGCAACAGCAUCCUCCAUGGAAGGUCUGUCAAGCUGAGCACACAAGUCUUGGGGCACAGGAAUCCGCUGGACGGCAUCCCAAUCAGGAAGAGGGUCUUUGAUGAUCUCGAAGAGGACAAGAAAGAGGACUUAUAUUGGAUACUGUAAUACAGUGCAUUGUAGGCUGUAUACUGUACAAUAAACAAAUUGUAUGGCCCUGAA
This is a long non-coding RNA of Alosa sapidissima (American shad), 641 nucleotides long. RefSeq lists it as uncharacterized. The record is from RefSeq and is a predicted model, not a curated record. The transcript is spliced from 3 exons. NCBI's taxonomy places the organism in Eukaryota, Metazoa, Chordata, Actinopteri, Clupeiformes, Clupeidae.